CCUGUCUCUAGAGUCAUUGCAGGUUUGGCUGCUGUGUCACCUGUGGGUCAGUAGGUGGCAGAGAGGAGAAGAGGCUGUGUCUGUGCUCAGUGUUCUGACCUAUGAACCUCUGAAUGAUGAGUAGCCUAAUGCC
Mastomys coucha (southern multimammate mouse) is the source of this 133-nucleotide small nucleolar RNA. RefSeq annotates it as small nucleolar RNA SNORA17. The transcript has a single exon. The record is from RefSeq and is a predicted model, not a curated record. NCBI's taxonomy places the organism in Eukaryota, Metazoa, Chordata, Mammalia, Rodentia, Muridae.